UACGGAGGGUGCGAGCGUUGUCCGGAAUCAUUGGGCGUAAAGGGCGCGUAGGUGGCCACUUCAAGCGUGCGGUGAAAGUCGGGGGCUCAACCCCUGAUCGGCCGUGCGAACUGGGGGGCUGGAGCACUGUAGAGGCAGGCGGAAUUCCGAGUGUAGAGGUGAAAUUCGUAGAUAUUCGGAAGAACACCAGUGGCGAAGGCGACUUACUGGACACAUAUUGACGCUGAGGUGCGAAAGCGUGGGGAGCAAACAGG
Molecule: ribosomal RNA, 254 nt
Filed under: uncultured bacterium
Lineage: Bacteria
Description: partial 16S ribosomal RNA
Rfam family: Bacterial small subunit ribosomal RNA
Source: RNAcentral